This 380-nucleotide ribosomal RNA is filed under the name uncultured bacterium. Its description in RNAcentral is "bacterial SSU rRNA". It matches the Rfam family "Bacterial small subunit ribosomal RNA", at positions 30 to 412 of the family's 1533-position model. The record is from RNAcentral.
AUUGAACGCUGGCGGCAUGCUUUACACAUGCAAGUCGAACGGGGUGAGGAGCUUGCUCCUCAUCUAGUGGCGAACGGGUGAGUAAUACAUCGGAACGUACCGUGUAGUGGGGGAUAACGUAGCGAAAGUUACGCUAAUACCGCAUACGAUCCACGGAUGAAAGCAGGGGACCUUCGGGCCUUGUGCUAUACGAGCGGCCGAUGUCUGAUUAGCUAGUUGGUGGGGUAAAGGCCCACCAAGGCAACGAUCAGUAGCGGGUCUGAGAGGAUGAUCCGCCACACUGGGACUGAGACACGGCCCAGACUCCUACGGGAGGCAGCAGUGGGGAAUUUUGGACAAUGGGCGCAAGCCUGAUCCAGCCAUGCCGCGCGUCUGAAGAA